This 443-nucleotide ribosomal RNA is filed under the name uncultured bacterium. RNAcentral describes it as "partial 16S ribosomal RNA". It matches the Rfam family "Bacterial small subunit ribosomal RNA", at positions 338 to 795 of the family's 1533-position model. The record is from RNAcentral.
CCUACGGGAGGCAGCAGUGGGGAAUAUUGGGCAAUGGGCGCAAGCCUGACCCAGCAACGCCGCGUGAAGGAAGAAGGCUUUCGGGUUGUAAACUUCUUUUGUCUGGGACGAAGCAAGUGACGGUACCUGACGAAUAGGCCACGGCUAACUACGUGCCAGCAGCCGCGGUACUACGUAGGUGGCAAGCGUUAUCCGGAUUUACUGGGUGUAACGGGCGUGUAGGCGGGACUGCAAGUCAGAUGUGAAAACCACGGGCUCAACCUGUGGCUUGCAGUUGAAACUGUAGGUCUUGAGUACUGGAAAGGCAGACGGAAUUCCUAGUGUAGCGGUGAAAUGCGUAGAUAUUAGGAAGAACACCAGUGGCGAAGGCGGGCUGCUGGACAGCAACUGACGCUGAGGCGCGAAAGCGUGGGGAGCAAACAGGAUUAGAUACCCUGGUAGUC